ANAAUUACGGGUACGGGGAUUAGGGUUCGAUUCCGGAGAGGGAGCCUGAGAAACGGCUACCACAUCCAAGGAAGGCAGCAGGCGCGCAAAUUACCCAAUCCCGACACGGGGAGGUAGUGACAAUAAAUAACAAUACAGGGCUCUUUAGGGUCUUGUAAUUGGAAUGAGUACAAUUUAAAUCCCUUAACGAGGAACAAUUGGAGGGCAAGUCUGGUGCCAGCAGCCGCGGUAAUUCCAGCUCCAAUAGCGUAUAUUAAAGUUGUUGCAGUUAAAAAGCUCGUAGUUGAAUUUCGGGGUUCUACCGUUGGUCGGGCUUUGUCUGUACUGGCGUGUAGAAUUUCUACCUUCUGGGGAACCAUUAUGUUAUUAAUUUAGCGUGGUGGGAAACCAGGACCUUUACCUUGAAAAAAUUAGAGUGUUCAAAGCAGGCUUAUGUCUGAAUACAUUAGCAUGGAAUAAUAGAAUAGGACGGUGGUCCUGUUUUGUUGGUUUCUGAAUCACCGUAAUGAUUAAUAGGGAUAGUUGGGGGCAUUAGUAUUCAAUUGUCAGAGGUGAAAUUCUUGGAUUUAUUGAAGACUAACUUCUGCGAAAGCAUUUGCCAAGGAUGUUUUCAUUAAUCAAGAACGAAAGUUAGGGGAUCGAAGACGAUCAGAUACCGUCGUAGUCUUAACCAUAAACUAUGCCGACUAGGGAUCGGACGAUGUUAACUUUUCUUGACUCGUUCGGCGCCUUACGGGAAACAAA
This 744-nucleotide ribosomal RNA is filed under the name Cetraspora pellucida. RNAcentral's name for it is "SSU rRNA". It matches the Rfam family "Eukaryotic small subunit ribosomal RNA", at positions 349 to 1101 of the family's 1831-position model. Lineage: Eukaryota; Fungi; Glomeromycota; Glomeromycetes; Diversisporales; Gigasporaceae. The record is from RNAcentral.